RNAcentral lists this ribosomal RNA (234 nucleotides) under uncultured bacterium. RNAcentral describes it as "partial 16S ribosomal RNA". It matches the Rfam family "Bacterial small subunit ribosomal RNA", at positions 15 to 228 of the family's 1533-position model. The record is from RNAcentral.
GAUCCUGGCUCAGGAUGAACGCUGGCGGCGUGCCUAACACAUGCAAGUCGAACGAAGCACUUUAUUUGAUUUCCUUCGGGACUGAUUAUUUUGUUGACUGAGUGGCGGACGGGUGAGUAACGCGUGGGUAACCUGCCUUGUACAGUGGGAUAACAGUUGGAAACGGCUGCUAAUACCGCAUAAGCGCACAGCAUCGCAUGAUGCAGUGUGAAAAACUCCGGUGGUAUAAGAUGG